AGUGAACGCUGGCGGUAGGCCUAACACAUGCAAGUCGAACGGCAGCACAGUAAGAGCUUGCUCUUACGGGUGGCGAGUGGCGGACGGGUGAGGAAUACAUCGUAAUCUACUUUUUCGUGGGGGAUAACGUAGGGAAACUUACUCUAAUACCGCAUACGACCUACGGUUGAAAGCAUGGGAUCUUCGGACCUUGCGCGAUUGAAUGAGCCGAUGUCGGAUUAGUUAGUUGGCGGGGUGAAUGCCCACCAAGGCGGCGAUCCGUAGCUGGUCUGAGAGGAUGAUCAGCGACACUGGAACUGAGACACGGUCCAGACUACUGCGGGAGGCAGCAGAGGGGAAUAUUGGGCAGUGGGCGCAAGCCUGGUCCAGCGAUACCGCGUGGGUGAAGAAGGCCUUCGGGGUGUAAAGACGUUUUGUUGGGAGAGAAAAGCAGCAGGUUAAUACCCCGCUGUUCUGACGGUACUCAGAGAAUAAGCACCGGCUAACUUCGUG
RNAcentral lists this ribosomal RNA (492 nucleotides) under uncultured bacterium. RNAcentral's name for it is "partial 16S ribosomal RNA". It matches the Rfam family "Bacterial small subunit ribosomal RNA", at positions 29 to 507 of the family's 1533-position model. The record is from RNAcentral.